CAAGAAUACAAGAAAAUUGAACUUUUUCAGCUCACACUGGACUUUAAAUAUCUGCUGCCAGUCAGAACAUUCCUUGUGACAGGAUUCCACUUACCAAAUGCUCUGCAAUCCAAGGACUGUGCCAGUUUCCAAUCAUAGGAAAAGGAAUAUAACACAGAAGCUAUCAUCUUCUACAGAUGACUACAAUCUUAACAUACCUGUGGAAAAUUUUGGAGAAGAAAGCUGCUUGUAGAGCAUUUCUUUGCAGUGACCUGUGUCAGAGCAGAAGGAAAAUACAUGCUCUCAGUGGUUCAGAGUACUACAAUAAUGAGAAGAUGGUGCACACUACAGCCACUACAUCUUGAUGGUUUCUCUGGCACAAGCUUCUAGCAGGUUAACAAAGUAUCACAGAGGAUGCUUGUCUGUAUUUGGGCUUCUCUCCCCAGUGUGCAGAAGAACAGGGUAAAAUAGAGAGGCUGAGCACCACUGUCAUGUUGUAAUGCCCUCUUUUUCUUUGCUAACUAGGAGUGGAGCAAAUAGGUGCAAGAGGCUAAUCUUGGAAAUAGAGUAAAAGGAAAGAGUGGUCCACAGUUACAAGGAAAAUUAAUAUUUUCAUUGCAUGAAUUUUGAAUUUUUUUUCCCUAAAUUUUCUCCAAAACACAUCACACCUCAAAUACAAAUGAAGACAAACUGCAGAGAGAUUCUAUAGACUUUCAGUCUAAAUCCAGGCACUGACUUCCAAGCAUCAGUUAGCUACCAGACAUCCAGCUGCAUCAGUCUCACCAAACAUGGUUAGAAAAAUAAAGCCUUUAAUAGCUCAGUGUCA
RNAcentral lists this long non-coding RNA (805 nucleotides) under Cyanistes caeruleus (blue tit). RNAcentral describes it as "lncRNA (ENSCCEG00000014120.1)". Lineage: Eukaryota; Metazoa; Chordata; Aves; Passeriformes; Paridae. The record is from RNAcentral.